GCAGGUCGAGCGGACUUGAUGGAGUGCUUGCACUCCUGAGAGUUAGCGGNGNGAGGGUGAGCUAACACGUAGGCAACCUGCCCUCRAGACUGGGAUAACUACCGGAAACGGUAGCUAAUACCGGAUAAUUUAUUUCACAGCAUUGUGGAAUAAUGAAAGACGGAGCAAUCUGUCACUUGGGGAUGGGCCUGCGGCGCAUUAGCUAGUUGGUGGGGUAAUGGCUCACCAAGGCGACGAUGCGUAGCCGACCUGAGAGGGUGAACGGCCAAACUGGGACUGAGACACGGCCCAGACUCCUACGGGAGGCAGCAGUAGGGAAUCUUCCGCAAUGGGCGAAAGCCUGACGGAGCAACGCCGCGUGAGUGAUGAAGGUUUUCGGAUCGUAAAGCUCUGUUGCCAAGGAAGAACGUCUUCUAGAGUAACUGCUAGGAGAGUGACGGUACUUGAGAAGAAAGCCCCGGCUAACUACGUGCCAGCAGCCGCGGUAAUACGUAGGGGGCAAGCGUUGUCCGGAAUUAUUGGGCGUAAAGCGCGCGCAGGCGGUUCUUUAAGUCUGGUGUUUAAACCCGAGGCUCAACUUCGGGGUCGCACUGGAAACUGGGGGACUUGAGUGCAGAAGAGGAGAGUGGGAAUUCCACGUGUAGCGGUGAAAUGCGUAGAUAUGUGGAAGGAACACCAGUGGCGAAGGCGACUCUCUGGGGCUGUAACUGACGCUGAGGCGCGAAAGCGUGGGGAGCAAACAGGAAUUAGA
RNAcentral lists this ribosomal RNA (751 nucleotides) under bacterium. RNAcentral describes it as "bacterial SSU rRNA". It matches the Rfam family "Bacterial small subunit ribosomal RNA", at positions 57 to 782 of the family's 1533-position model. The record is from RNAcentral.